UCUAACUUCAUAAUAGAAAUGCGAAAAUUGACGAAAAACAAUGCCAAUGAUGAUGAUGAUGAUUCUUUCGUUCACAUCGAUUUGGCAGAGAUUACGGAAUUACAAUUUAUAAUCCCUCUGUUGCAGCUGACACACGCCACACACGCUUCUCUGGCGGUGACACGAGAUAAAGUAAACCAUAAUAAACAAAUAGGUACAUAAAUCAAUAAAAAAAAGUACUGAUAACUGGAAAAGGAUGAUGAUUUUUGACAAGGGAACACAGUAGCAAAUUGAAAAUAUGAAUCUUAUAUACAAACAUUCGUAAUAUAAGUCUAUGAAGAAUGAGGAUAUGAAAGGGUAAAAGAAAAAGAGGAAAAGGAAAAAAAAAGAAAGAAAAAAUGGAAGAAAAGAAGCAUAAAGAAGAAGAAUCGAAGAAAAAGGAAAGAAGAGAAGUACGGAAAAGCAAAAAAGGAAGAAAAAUAAGAAGUCGAAGAAGAAACUAAAAGAAAAACGGAAAAAAAGAAAGAGAAUAGAGAAAUGGAAGAAAAGAAGCAAAAAUAAGUAAAGAAGAAAAGGAAAUAAGAAAAGAAAAAGAAGAAAAAGGAACAGGAAGAAAAAUACAAUAAAAAAAAGAAAAAAAAAGGAUAAUGGAAGAAAAGAAGCAAAAAUAAUGAAAGAAAAGGAAAAAAAGAACAGGAAGAAAAAUACAAUAAAAUAAAGAAAAAGGAGAAAAUGGAAGAAAGGAAGCAAAAAUAAUGAAAGAAAAGGAAAAAAAUAAGAAUGAAAAAAGAACAGGAAGAAAAAUACAAUAAAAUAAAGAAAAAGGAGAAAUGGAAGAAAAUAAUAACAGAAAAGGAAAAAAAAAGAAAAUAAACUUAAAAGGAGGAGGAAGAAGAAAAAUAAAAAAAAGACUAAGAAGAAACUAUGACAUAUCCAAUUGUUACCGAGACUUACCGAAUCAUUACGUAUCCAAAACUAAUAUACAAGAACUUAACCCAAUGUGGAUGUAUAAGGCCCAUAGACUUUGACGUUUCCGGCUCUCAACAAACGUUUCCCAAGGCCACAAAGAUGAUUAGUCGAGUUCUCAUGGGUCUUUUUAACGUUCUUGAUGCAAAGGCCUUGUCAAACUAUCACUAGGCUCAUAAAACUGCCCAUGGAAAUACACAUAUGCCCCGAAAUGUUUAAGAAUGAGUGUGUUUAUAUUUUACAACUGUUUUCAAAGUCCACAAAGGAGAUUAGUCGGGUUAUAAUGAGUCUUUUUAACGUUCUUGAUGCAGAGGUCUUGUCAAACUAUCACUAGGCUCAUAAAACUGCCCUUGGAAAUACACAUAACCUUACCGAAUGUAUGUGUGGUAUAGAUCCCAAAAUGUAUAAGAAUAUGGAUGUGUUUAUAUUUUACAACUACUUUCAAAGCCCACAAAGGAGAUUAGUCGGGUUCUAAUGAGUCUUUUUAACGUUCUUGAUGCAGAGGUCUUGUCAGACUAUCACUAGGCUCAUAAAACUGCCCUUGGAAAUACACAUAACCUUAUCGAAUGUACUAUGCGUGUAUGCCUCCUGUUCUUUCUUUAUUCUUUCUAAUUUUUGCUUAUUUUCCAUUUUUCUCUUUCUUUUUUUUCCCAUUUGUUCUUUUAGUUUCUUCUUCGACUUCUUAUUUUUCUUCCUUUUGCUUUUACUUCUCCUCACUGUUAUACGUUCAUGGUGCAGCAGCCUUGUCAAACUCCUCUUUCUCUUCCUCUUCAUAUUCCUACAAUUUAUCCUUUUACUCCUCCUCCUCAUUCUCCAGGUGCUUAGUCUCUCCUGCCCGGCUAAGUUAUCACCUCCUCAUAUUCCUACAACUUAUCCUCUAACUCCUCCUCAUUCUCCAGUGCUUAGUCUCUCCUGCCCGGCUAAGUUAUCACCUCCUCAUAUUCCUACAACUUAUCCUCUUACUCCUCCUCAUUCUCCAGUGCUAGUCUCUCUGGCCCGGCUAAGUUAUCACCUCCUCAUAUUCCUACAACUUAUCCUCUUACUCCUCCUCAUUCUCCAGUGCUAGUCUCUCCGGCCCGGCUAAGUAAUCACCUCCAAUCUUCAUUAUUCUUUUAUUCAUCAUUACUACACUUAGUAAAGACAAUGUUCAAAAAUAGUACAAGCAUGACCUGAGAUUAUGUAUGAAACUUUAUCAUUAUUAGUUGUAUAUUUUCUCCAAGACUGAUAAGAAAAGUCGAGUUAAAAGGUUUCAAUUCUAUCCAUAAUCGCUUGUAAUCAUAUUCAUUUACAGCAAUUGAUGUGACCCAGAGACUUUCGUGAGUGAUGGAGUCUUAACCCGGUAACAGCGGGGAUCAUGUUUCUUAAUGGUCCCUCUAAGCGAGAAAAAUGAGAAAAAAUCAUCACUCACACAAACCAUUUCAUAAUAUAUAUCAAAGCAUUUGUGAUCAGUUUAUGUAUCAUCUAUUUUGGGGGGUUUAUAUCAUGGCACAAAUAUGGCCCGUCGCUGCUACAUGGUAAAGCCACAAAUUUGGCCCGUCGCUGCUACCGGGUUAAGCUCAUUUUCUCACACACUUUCAGCUCUCACAAACACAAUUUCCCAAAGCCACAGAGGAGAUUAAUCAGUUUCCCAUGAGUAGUUUUCACAUUCUCAGUGCAGAAGCCUUGUCAGUCUAUCACCAGGCUCAUACAAACUACCCAUGAAAACACUAACACAACCUCUAUGAAAGCCUUAUAUGUGGGUGGGCGAGCUCUUGUGAUGUUUGAGUAUAUGGGCCAAUAGGUUGAGGUGACAGCCAAGCCUCCAUCACUCAGGGACAGAUCUUGAGUCAUUAUGGUUCAUUCACAUUAGCUUGGCAGAUUAGCUCCUCCCCCUCCUCUCUCCUCUGGUCUGCCAUUGGUUCAUACACUUGUUUACUUUUUGUGAGUAGUGAGAAACAGGAGGCAGACCAUCAGUUUUUUUUUCCAUUGUUUUGAUUCAUUUUUACUUCAUUGGGAUUUUUUUUUUUUUUUUUUUGUUGGUGUUGAUGGCAGUUGUAAAAGAAGAAGAAGAAGAAGAAGAAGAAGAAGAAGAAGAAGAAGAAGAAGAAGAAGAAGGAGGUUGUAGAGGGAGAAAAUGUAGAAAACUGAAGAGGAGGAGGAGGAGAAAGAGGAAGAGAAGAAGCUUUAGCAGAAUGAAGAGGAGGAGAAAGAGGAAGAGAAGAAGCUUUAGCAGAAUGAAGGGGAGGAGAAAUAGUUGUAGAAGAAUGUAUAAGAGGAGGAAGAAAAUAAAUUGUUGGAAUAUGAAAAGGAAGAGGAGGAGAGAAAGAGGAGGAACAGAAGUUUUAGGAGAAUGAAGAAAAGGAUAAGUUGUUUUAGGAGAAUGAAGAAAAGGAGAAGUAGUUUUAGGAGAAUGAAGAAAAGGAUAAGUAGUUUUAGGAGAAUGAAGAAAAGGAGAAGUAGUUUUAGGAGAAUGAAGAAAAGGAGAAGUAGUUUUAGGAGAAUGAAGAAGAGGAAGAGAAUAAACUGUAGGAAAAUGAAGAGAAAGAGGAGGAGAAAGGGGAGAAUAAGAAGUUUUAGGAGAAUAAAGAGAAAGAGAAAUAGCUGUAGGAGAAUAAAGAGGAGGAAGAAGAGAAUAGAGUGUAGGAAAAUGAAGAGGAAGAAGAGAGUAAGUUGUAGGGAAGUGAAAAGGAAGAAGAGGAGAAAGAGGAGGAAAGAGGAGAAUUUUUAGAGUGAGGAGGAGGAGGAAAAGAAAUUAAGAGGAAGUGGAAAAUGAGGAUGAGGAGGAGGAGACAUAGGAGCUUAAUCACCAAGUUAAUAUGAAAUAACUGAUUGGCAAUUAGUAUUAACGAGAGAAUUAAUUCCUUAAAACUUUGGACUUUCAUGACAUUGACUUAGGCUAAAUAUUGCUGUGUGGCUGAGGGAUGAAGCUAUACACACACACACACACACACACACACACACACACACACAUAUACAUUCAACAUCAGUAUAUCGAACCUAAAGACCUCAUCACACAAUGUUGUAGUUCCUGUGACACAUGAUGUUUCGGAUGACACAUUAACUUAAAAUCCAUGACCCAGACACAUAAUUACACUUAAGUUCACAUAAAGACUGACUGUGGGGUUUUAACUCUAUGAACCUGAUGUCGUCUUAGCAAGUUACUACAUAGAUCAACACGUAUUUCUCCUCUUUCCUCUUCUUUCUCCUCCUCUUCCUUUUCACUUCCCUACAACUUUCUCUCUUCUUCCUCUUCAUUUCCCUACAUUGUAUUCUCUUUCUCCUCCUCUUUAUUCUCCUAAAGCUUCUCAUUCUCCUCUUUCUUUCAUAUUUUACUAUCAAAGAACGUAUUUUUCAGUCACAUUUUAUUGGCUCACUCUAUAUUAUUCAUUCCUAUACAAAUUAAUAUGUCUUACUCUUUCCUUUCAUCAUCAUCAUUAGGUUUUCAGCUUUAUAUACUUGACAAUCUAAAUAAAAUGCCUUUCCAUACAAACUGAUGCAUCUAUAUCACUCUUUUUCAUUAUUAUAAUUAGAUUUUCAGAUAUUUUACUUGACGAACCACAUAAGUUUCAUUCGUACACAAAAUCAAUACAUCUUAAAUCACUCUUUUUCAUCAUUAUUAUUAGGUAUUUAGUUUGAUUUCCUUGACAAUGUAGAUAUAAUGAAUUCCUAUAGAUAAUGCUGCUGCUAAAUCACUCAUUCUUUUUAUCAUAAUUAUAAGGUAUUAGAAUAUUUCAAGCCAUUUAAACAUUUGAACUGAGCAGAUGAAUGAAAAAGCUGGAUUCUCAAGACUGUCAACUGUAGGCUAUGUACUUCCGAAGGUGACUGGGGGAAGGUUCACAUUCUCUCUGCGUAAAUAUGUCUGGUACAGUAAAAACUCUUGCAUACAUCUCCCACAUCAAUACAACUGGUCUGGGUCUGGGUGUGGUGGCAAGUAGGUCAUUCAGUGUUUUGUAAGGGAGAGUAAAAUGAUUUCAUACCACAACUUCUCUUUGGUUUGAAAUUACACUACUUUCCCCUCGGGCGCGUCAAGCGGAACAUCACGUAACACCGUACACACACACACACGCGCGGAACGAGGCCUCAGCGGCAGAACACAGGUGGAUUAAACUGGUCUACAUAAUAAAUAUACGCAUGCCUCGGUCUUACAUCUACUGCGUUACAAAAGGAGGGAGGGGGAGGGAAAGCGAGUGAAAUCAUGAAUAUACAUACACUUGUUGAGGGGAUAUACUGUGUGCUGGGGUGUGGCUUGUCCAGUUAGGUAGUGAUUUGCGACUCGGGGUAGAUUGAAAUGUCUUGUGUGUGGGUAUGAAUGUGUGGGAGGGGUGGGGAUGGGUAGGGGAGGAUACUGUCAUAUGUAUGUGUGUGUGUGUGUGUGUGUGUGUGUGUGUGUGUGUGUGUGAUGUUGAAUGUGUGUUGAUGUUGUGUGUGUGUGUGUGUGGAUACCAAGUGUGUUAGAUGUUGUGUGAGUGAGUGUGAUACAGUGUGUGAUGUCAUAUGUGUGUGUAUGUGUGUGUGUGGUUGUGUUUGGGAUGUUGAGUGUGUGUGUGUGUGUGUGUGUGUGUGUGUAUUUACCUAUUAGUGGUUUACAGGGCCUAAGUGGAUAGUCCUGUCUCCUUGUCUAUAUUUGUACAUGUCUCUGUGUGUGUGUGUGUGUGUGUCUGAGCAAUACCCAUACUAGCCUGCACUCCAUCCUCAUAACACUAUUCACCGUGAUAUGAAAGUUUUGUGGACAUAUGCACAUAACACAUCUAUCAAAUUGUUCUCUUCAUAAUUGUGGAUAUUUUCUCUUCAACUUCUCGAGAAAUGAAACUGACUAAAAAGGUAAUAAAAUACUUUAAUUCUUACUUUUUUGAGAUCCAGAACUAAAGAAAAUUCAUCCCUGCACGUCUUUAUAAAUUUUCGGCGUUUGUUUUCACAGUAACAAACGAAUACAUACAUCUCUUUCGUUGACUUAAACUAAUACAUUGCCAAAAGAACUUAGCCAAAACACUUCCGAUACUCAUUCCAUCCUGUGCUAUGCCUUGAAAAUUCAAUAUAUGAGGCAAGAACUUAGCCAAAACACUUCCAAUACUCAUUCCAUCCUGUGCUAUGCCUUGAAACUUCACUAAGAGAGGCAAGACACUGGGCAAAAGACAAGCCUCCACACACAAUUGAUAUUUACGGCAGGAACAAAAUCCUUCAACCACAUCAUCAAUCAUACAAUGUUACCACAAAUCCACUUACUACAGAGCUUAGGGCCAGGACUGAGGAAGAGAUAUACAAGGAGAGAGAACAGAGACUAAGGGCAGACUGAAGGAAACAUGGAAGAGGUGUGAAGAAAAAGAGAUUAAGGAUAGGACUGAGAGGAGGAGGAGUGAGGUAGGAGAGAGACCAGAGAAGAAGUAGACUGAGAAAGGCAUUGAAGAGAGAGAAGAAUGAACAGAGGGUAGGAGAGAGGGAUAAUACAUGCAAAGGGAAAGGUUGGAGAGUGAACAGAGAUUAGGAAUAGACUGAAAAAUACAAGGAAGAAAGAGAUGCUAGAAUGAAUAGAAAGAAGUAGUUUAAGAUAGCCUGUGAUGUAAUGUAUGUAUGUGUUUGUGAUGUGUAUGUGUGUGACUGAUAGAUACAUGAGAGUGGAUGUGUGUGAAAGGUGGGAAAAGAUGUUUAUGAAGAGGGUGCAGUGGAAACACCUCUACCAUGGUCACCCCUUUGAUAGACAGCUGAAUUAUUCUAUGCGAUGUGAGAUGGAAAGCCACACCACAGCAACACAUGACACACCUCUCAACACUAACCUACACUACCAAUGAGUGACAAACUGGUAAGGUAAACGAAACUUAUCAGGGUUUAUUCACACUGAAAAUUGGGUCUUACUAGUACGGCCUCGCGCACGUAACGCUACAAAUGCUUCCUAGCCAGACGAUCUUAGCCAGGAAAAGGAGUCUAUCCCAGAGGUGAGACGUACAUAAGGGAGUGGUUUGGCAGCUCCCAGCAUACAGCAUGGGAGUGUAUGUUACCCCUCGGACACCAGGUUCUUAAGAGUGGAUGGUAGUCGUUCUAGCAUGAAGGUUACUAUAGAGGAUUCGUAUUUAUCAAAAGUAGCGUUGCCCACUUUUUGCCUCUCCUCUCUCUGUCAUAACAUACAGCAAAUCCUUGAAACUAUGUCCAAAGAAAUCCUUACUGCUUAACUUUCUACUCUCAGUAUAAUGGUAACUGCAGAGGAUUAGCAUAUCUUUUGAGUAGCAUUGCCUCCCUCCCCUUACCUCUCCUCUCCUGCCCUAACCACACAGCAAGUCUUUCAAAUAAUGUGCAAAUAAGUCCUCACUCCCUAACAUCCUCCUCUCAGAAUGAAGUUAUCUACGGAGGAUUCACAUUGACGGUAGUAUUGCUCUCCCUAACCUCUCCUCUCCUAACCAUACAGCAGGUCCUUCAAAUAAUGUGCAAAUAAGU
This is a long non-coding RNA of Eriocheir sinensis (Chinese mitten crab), 7350 nucleotides long. RefSeq lists it as uncharacterized. NCBI's taxonomy places the organism in Eukaryota, Metazoa, Arthropoda, Malacostraca, Decapoda, Varunidae. The transcript has 2 exons. The record is from RefSeq and is a predicted model, not a curated record.